GCUGCCCGCGUCCCCGAUCCGAGUCCUCGGUCCAGGUCCCUCUCCACUCUCCACUCCAGCUUCCUGCUAACGACACCCUGGGCGCAGCAGGCGACGACGCCACGUGGGGACAUGGACAGAGCCGAGCCCCAGCUGCUGCGGGAUCCGGACGAGAGCUACAGACAUCAGAUCCUCCCCGCCCCGGGCGGUCAGUGGUCAGCGGUCAGCUAUGCUGAGAGGUCACGGGACGGGCCUGUGGCCACCAUGCCUAGCUCCAAGGCCUGCAGAUCAAGCGAGAGGUGAAGCCCACAGCCAGCAACCAGAGGCCCCACAGGACUCCUGGUAGACCACACGCAUGUGGACACUGGACUCGGCCUUGUGGACAUCUUCCUGUCACCCCCAGGUACGGACCAUGCCCUGCCCUUGCGAGGCCCCUCACACUGGCCACCCACCCCCAUCUUGUGGGGGGCUCAACCCCAAGAACGCGGAACUCGGAGACCACGAGACCCAGCCCCAAACUGCAUCUGCAGCACUAACAACGCUGACCCACCUGUGUCAGUGAGAGGCAGAUGGGCAGAGAACUCCACCCACUGGGUCACUACCCGGACGCCCACAGUGCCUGGGCUGGGCCAAAGCCAGGAGCCAGGAGCUCCACCCAAGUCUGCUGAGGAUGGUGGGACCCCCACACUGGGGCCAUCACCUGCAGCCCCCCAGGGCGCAACGAGUCAGGAGCCAGAGCCUGGAACCCAACCCAGGCACCGACCCACGCGGGCUCCGACCACUAGGCCACACGACCACUCUGGAAUCUCCAGUUUUAACAGGUUUCUGUCUGCCCACAGGGUGUGGCUGGAGAAACAUCUCAGUGCCUGGGGGUGGGCGUCCAGCCCGCCGGUUAAGUCACGGACCCCCGAUGGGGAAGCCCCUGGCUUGCAGCUUCCAGCCAGUGCAGGCCUGGGCAAGGAGCGCUGAUGGCCCAGCCCGGCUGCUGCAGGCAUCUGGGGAAGGGUCCGCUGUCCCCUGGUGACAACACCUGCUGUCCCGGCCACCUCCCGCCUUCUACCCUGCGAAGAUGGCCCCUGGAGACCCACAGGAAGUCAAUGUCGCAGAGACCACACUCGCCAUGGGUCAGGGACCACUCUGUGCUGAGAGGCGUCCCCAAGGCCACGUCAGGACAGCAAACCCAGCCCAGGCACCAGAAGCCCAAGGUUGGGCACCCGGAUCUGAGCGCUGCUGCACCCAAGGGUGACCUGGAGGGAGCUCCAGGCUCCUGGUUGUGGCCUGGCCCAGCCCUGAAGCUGUGGGCACUUAGGGAGUGAACCAGCAGACAUGAGACCUCUGUCUCUGUAGCUCUGGAUUCAAAUAAAAUAAAUACAUAAACAAACUUGAACAAAAAUCAGGACCUCA
Molecule: non-coding RNA, 1383 nt
Organism: Oryctolagus cuniculus (rabbit)
Lineage: Eukaryota; Metazoa; Chordata; Mammalia; Lagomorpha; Leporidae
Source: RefSeq, a predicted model, not a curated record